ACGCACGCUGGCGGCGUGCUUCACCCCUGCCAGUCGCACGGAAAGGCCCUGCUUUUGUGGGGUGCUCGAGUGGCGAACGGGUGAGUAACACGUGAGUAACCUGCCCUUGACUUUGGGAUAACUUCAGGAAACUGGGGCUAAUACCGGAUAGGAGCUCCCGCUGCAUGGUGGGGGUUGGAAAGUUUCGGCGGUUGGGGAUGGACUCGCGGCUUAUCAGCUUGUUGGUGGGGUAGUGGCUUACCAAGGCUUUGACGGGUAGCCGGCCUGAGAGGGUGACCGGCCACAUUGGGACUGAGAUACGGCCCAGACUCCUACGGGAGGCAGCAGUGGGGAAUAUUGCACAAUGGGCGGAAGCCUGAUGCAGCAACGCCGCGUGCGGGAUGACGGCCUUCGGGUUGUAAACCGCUUUCGCCUGUGACGAAGCGUGAGUGACGGUAAUGGGUAAAGAAGCACCGGCUAACUACGUG
This 467-nucleotide ribosomal RNA is filed under the name uncultured bacterium. RNAcentral describes it as "partial 16S ribosomal RNA". It matches the Rfam family "Bacterial small subunit ribosomal RNA", at positions 29 to 507 of the family's 1533-position model. The record is from RNAcentral.